Saccostrea cuccullata (small rock oyster) is the source of this 604-nucleotide long non-coding RNA. RefSeq lists it as uncharacterized. NCBI's taxonomy places the organism in Eukaryota, Metazoa, Mollusca, Bivalvia, Ostreida, Ostreidae. The record is from RefSeq and is a predicted model, not a curated record. The transcript has 5 exons.
AGGAGUUCAAGAAGCAACUUCCUGGAUUGUGUGUAUGCUGUUUGUCAACAUUUGAAACCCACAUGAAUUUUGAGGUAUGCAUGAUGCAACUGACUUGAUGAUGUGUAGUCUGUGAAACCCACAAGCACAUGUGUAUCCAGAGAAAUAUUAAUUUACAGGAACUUUAAAGAAUAAAGUUGUUGAACCUUUCCAAACCUUCCCUGACAACAUAUACAAAUGGAAUUGGAAGAAGUGACAUGUGAUGUUAUAGUAAAGAAAGAGUUCAAUUUAAAAGAGAUUAUUUCAUCAAUGUACCUUAGAAAACACUUCUCAGUGCAGACAUUUCACUUGGGUCUACUGGUUCAGAGAGGGAUGAUGAGAUAAUGGUGACAUAAUGCAGAUUGCUGACACUUGUUCCUUUCAGUCACCUUCAAUAUUCAGCCAAAAGAAAAAAUCAUUAAUAACGCCGCUUGUGUGACUGGACUAUCAGGCAAAGAUGGCGUCCUUCGUCGCAUCAGUACUCAAGUACAGACUGUCUGCUUAUAUGGACUUUUCAAGACAGCACUCAACUACAGCCUGUAUCUGCCCAUACUUAACUUUAUUUUGUCGCUUUUGUUGAAGAAAA